RNAcentral lists this ribosomal RNA (253 nucleotides) under uncultured bacterium. RNAcentral describes it as "partial 16S ribosomal RNA". It matches the Rfam family "Bacterial small subunit ribosomal RNA", at positions 524 to 776 of the family's 1533-position model. The record is from RNAcentral.
UACGUAGGGGGCAAGCGUUGUCCGGAAUCAUUGGGCGUAAAGAGCGUGUAGGCGGUCCGGUAAGUCGGUUGUGAAAGCCCAGGGCUCAACCCUGGGAUGCCGACCGAUACUGUCGGACUAGAGUUCGGAAGAGGCGAGUGGAAUUCCCGGUGUAGCGGUGAAAUGCGCAGAUAUCGGGAGGAACACCUAUGGCGAAGGCGGUUCUCUGGGCCUGUACUGACGCUGAGGAGCGAAAGCGUGGGGAGCGAACAGG